GACGAACGCUGGCGGCGUGCUUAACACAUGCAAGUCGAACGGAAAGGCCCUGCUUUUGUGGGGUGCUCGAGUGGCGAACGGGUGAGUAACACGUGAGUAACCUGCCCUUGACUUUGGGAUAACUUCAGGAAACUGGGGCUAAUACCGGAUAGGAGCUCCUGCUGCAUGGUGGGGGUUGGAUAGUUUCGGCGGUUGGGGAUGGACUCGCGGCUUAUCAGCUUGUUGGUGGGGUAGUGGCUUACCAAGGCUUUGACGGGUAGCCGGCCUGAGAGGGUGACCGGCCACAGUGGGACUGAGAUACGGCCCAGACUCCUACGGGAGGCAGCAGUGGGGAAUAUUGCACAAUGGGCGGAAGCCUGAUGCAGCAACGCCGCGUGCGGGAUGACGGCCUUCGGGUUGUAAACCGCUUUCGCCUGUGACGAAGCGUGAGUGACGGUAAUGGGUAAAGAAGCACCGGCUAACUACGUG
This 468-nucleotide ribosomal RNA is filed under the name uncultured bacterium. RNAcentral's name for it is "partial 16S ribosomal RNA". It matches the Rfam family "Bacterial small subunit ribosomal RNA", at positions 28 to 507 of the family's 1533-position model. The record is from RNAcentral.